UACGUAGGUGGCAAGCGUUGUCCGGAUUUAUUGGGUUUAAAGGGUGCGUAGGCGGUCUUAUAAGUCAGUUGUGAAAUACGGCAGCUUAACUGUCGAGGUGCAAUUGAUACUGUAAGACUUGAGUACUGUUGAGGUAGGCGGAAUGGACGGUGUAGCGGUGAAAUGCUUAGAUAUCGUCAAGAACACCGAUAGCGAAGGCAGCUUACUAGACUGUAACUGACGCUGAUGCACGAAAGUGUGGGGAUCAAACAGG
Molecule: ribosomal RNA, 253 nt
Filed under: uncultured bacterium
Lineage: Bacteria
Description: partial 16S ribosomal RNA
Rfam family: Bacterial small subunit ribosomal RNA
Source: RNAcentral